Molecule: long non-coding RNA, 4751 nt
Organism: Pan troglodytes (chimpanzee)
Lineage: Eukaryota; Metazoa; Chordata; Mammalia; Primates; Hominidae
Exons: 3
Source: RefSeq, a predicted model, not a curated record
CAUCUGCGAAAUCUGGAGCACAUCUUGGGAAAGUGUGAUCUGCAGAUCAUCAGAGAAGUUUUCUGCUGUGCGUAAAUGACUACUGAAGUGUUUGAUUUUGCUGUAUAAAAUAGUGUUAGAUAUGUAAAUGUAUGUGGGCUGAAUCAUGUGUAAUAAAUGUCAUAUGCUGAGUGAUACACUGUCCCAGGCACGUAAUAAGUGUCACAUACAUGAUCUCAUUUAACCUUCACAAUAAUCCUGCGAGAUGGGCAUUAUUCUUCCUAUUUGAUGAUAAACUGGGCUUGGAAGAGCUUAAGUAACUUAUCCAAGAUCACACAAUUAAUACAGAACAAAGCCGAGAUUCAAAUCCAGGACUCAAAUCCAGCUCAAUCUGUCUCCUAAACCCACAUCUUUCUCCUUAUACUCCACUGCCUCCUUAGCAACACAGUAAUAAUUACAGUGGAAUCUCACCUUCUGUGGGGUUAGGUUCUAAAGUUAAGUGCAAUCAAAGGUAAAUUAGAAAAAACCUAAGUCACUGAUAAAGUAUAGUUAGUUAUACAAGGUUUUGGGCAUAUAACCCUGCCCCGUAUUAUGUUUGUAUAAGUAUAUAACGUUGUGUAUGUGUAUGUAAAAUAUAAUUUUACAGCAUUUUUAUUUUUAAGUAUGCAAAAGAGACAGAACUUGUUUAGUUGAAUUCAUGUAAGUUAAACACCUGUAUAAUGUCUCUCUACACAUGCAUACCUCUAAAUGUGUGCCAGACUAACAGUGGUAACAUCUUACAGAGUUUUACAGCUUUAGAACCAGAGGGAACUUCUAUGGUCAAGUGGUCUGUGUUACAUUUGACAGAAUUGAGGCACAAAGAGGCUGUCCCUUGCCCAACUUCACUGUCUACCUUCAUUUCCAACAAGCUUUGGGAGCCUGUGUGUCUGCUCACAGCUAGGAGGAAAUCAGAGGAAGGCCAGUUCUCCUUACUUUUUGCCUGUUGUGGCCCAGCUAACCCAAUAAAUGAAAUUCAGGUUGCUGUGAGAUGGUCAAGGUCUGGGCUUUACAUCUGGCAGGGAGACAGCUCCUUUCUGAGGAUGACAGCUGCAGCUUCAGCUCUACCUGGGAGCUGUCUCCCCAUGGGGAGGAUGUUCAGAGCCAGCUGUCUUUUCUGUGUGCAGUUCCUGGGAUUGUUCAAACUGGUAGAAGCUGAGAGAGCCCAAGGGAAGGAAAUCUGCAGCUAUAGAGCCCAACAUGCCUUCUACACACACACACACACACACACACAAACACACACACACACACACACACACACACACACACACGCCCUCAUUCCUUUAAAACAGAAAGAAGCCAGAACAUGUGAUGUGGUCAGCUGUUUGGAUUCUUAGAGAGUGUUGAGUCUAAGUAAUGGGGCAAGUUGUGGGGAGGGCACUCAUGGUUUUGGUGGGGAGGGCAGGGACCAUUCCAGCUCUAAUCAGAAGGAUAAAGGAAGUAAGCAGACCAGCAGACCUGGCCUCCGGCAUGUGAAACAGCAUCCACAUGCCCCCCUCCCGAUGUCCUAUCAGAUCUCAUUAACCCUCUCCCAUUUCAUUAUCCAGGCACCGCCUCCUUACCUGCCUUGAUUAUCUCAGCUAGCUGCCAGGGUUGAUAAGAAAUCCGUCCCAAAAUGGCAGAGGGCUAACAGAUUAAGGGGUUCCCUCUCAGGGACUUAGCCCUUCAGGUGGGCUGUCUCACAGUUCCCAAUUCUUCCAGAGCCAAAGGAAAGCCACAGAAGCAUGAAGUGUCAGGAAGAUUAGACAGACAUUUCUGGGCCACAAGCCUGUGUGAUGCUUUUCAGAUCAAAACCCAGGUCGUGCCUGCUAUGUUUGUAGGAAGGAGGGAGUCUGGGUGGGAAAUUAGAGAAAGUACAGCACCCUCUGGCCUGAAGAACCUUUCAUCCCUGAACUUGGAGGUGUAAGCUGCCCUUCUGAAACACAAAUCCUUAUCUACUCUCAUUUUCCAAAUGUUUUGUGUUUCUAUAUGAAAAUCUUUAGAUUUGCUGAACCACUGGGCCCCAAAAAUAUGGCCCAGGUCACUCAAACCUAUAUAUUUUCUUCCUAUGAUUUUCCUCAGGGCAAUUCAUGUCAUCACAGGUGGCCCCACCCCCCAAAGCCUUCACCUGAAGGUAUUGCAAGCCAACUUUCCAGUUAUUUGUUAAAAAUAAAAUGAUCCUUAAAUGAUGUGAUGGUCAGCCAAGAUACUAGAGUUGUUAGCUUUCAUCGGACAAAAGGACUUUCAGUGUCAGCUACGGGUAUCAAACUCCCUGGGAACUUGUUAGCAUGCCAAUCCUGGGCUGAGAAUAUGAUUUUAAGGGGAUUGAUGCUUUAGAAUUUCUGGACUAAAGGUUGCUGUUUCUCUUGAAGUGGCAACUCCAUUUGAGUGGCAGGUUAUCCUGUCUGUCAUUACCUGGAGAAUUAUACAGAAAUCUUCUGCAUAGCAAGAAGUCCCACCACACUCAGGGCAUUGGGGAAAUAGGGUGGUGGCAAGCCUAUGUUCAGUUAGGGGGAUCCCUGCCCUGUGCUGCCGGAGGAAGUGCCCUGUGCUGCAAUGAGGAAGUUCACUGCUGUCUUUCUCAGAAACUCAGACCAACAUGAAAAUAGGACUCCUGAACUUAGAGCCUAUGUUUUGUCCACAAGAUUAUCCAAUCUGCAACAAGCACCAGAACUUGUCUGAGAUCCUGAAAUCCAGAGAUCCUAGCCAGCUGGGCAUAUACCAAGCUCUAGCAUAGAAGAGAGGCCGGCUACUCAGCCAGGGCACAUGGCCCUGGGGCAGCCUGGCCCUGGACAGGUGGAGCCAACCUCUCCAAGAACUUUCCAACACUCCACCGUUUUCUGUUUACCCCAGAGGCAUAUUAGACUGACUGAGACAUCCCUGAGAACACAGGGAAGCUUCAACUACCUAAGACUGAAAUCAUGAUCAUCAUCAUUAUCUGGUUCUAAACAAAAUCAUCCUAGGAGGCAGCAUGCCCUUGUACAAAUUUCAAUUCUGAUACAAAUAGCUGUGUGGCGUUAGGCAGAUUCCCUCUCUGUGCUUACAGUUCCUCAUCUAUAAAACAGAGUUAAUAAAAGAACCCCAAUCCCGGCACUUUGGGAGGCCGAGGCAGGCAAAUCACGAGGUCAAGAGAUUGAGACCAUCCUGGCCAACGUGGUGAAACUCUAUCUCUACUGAAAAUACAAAAAUUAGCUGGGCAUGCUGGUGCGCACCUGAAGUUCCCAGCUACUCGGGAGGCUGAGGCAGGAGAAUCGCUCAAACCCAGGAGGCGGAGGUUGCAGUGAGCCGAGAUCGUGCCACUGCACUCCAGCCUGGUGACAGAGUGAGACUCUGUCUCAAAAAAAAAGAAGAAUCCGUCUCUUAGGUUCGUUGUAAGAAUUAAAUGAGACAAUGUUUACCAAAUUCUUAACAGAGUCUGGAAUAUAAUAAGUGUUCUGUAGACAGGGCCACAGCUAGCAUGCAGGGUGUCUUUGUGGUAAUUGGAGAGGGGUGUGCUCAUUUGGGUAGACACAUUAGAAAAAGAUGUCCCUUCCUCUGGGCUGGCUCAGGCUGGUGCCUGACUUGGGAAGCAGAGUUCCUCCCUCGGCUGGCCACCCUUUGGCUGGUCACAACCCACAAAACUGAAGGUGGAGGCCCUGUCCGUACAUGUUUGCUAUGGUAAGUACCAACAGUUCUUGCAGACGGACAACUGUGUGCGCUCUCACUGUGGAGGCCCCCUUGGAGGAGGUAGCUGACUCUCACUUCUCAGAACCACAGUGCUAGGCUCAGCAGAGUCUCAUCUUGAUAAACUUCUGUGAGAACAAAGGCAUGGGGACACACUGAAUUUUCCUUUUCUGAGCUUGAAACCAGCUGAUCAUGCUUCCUGUUUCUCUAAGGGCUUCCCUGACAUAGACGACUUGCUUCUUUCAAAUUUGGUCAUCGCCCUCUUGCCUUCCUGUGUGAGUCAGCGUGGCUGCCCUUGUGCACGCCAGGCUCCUGUCUGUGCUCCGGGGCCUGUUUCCUGGCCUCCCCAGGUAAUUCCCCUCGGCCAAGGGUGAGCGUCCCCGCCCACGUCCCCCCCUCUGCCUGGAGACGUGCGUGCGCUGGGGACAUGAGUCACAGCAGCCCGCCCAUCCUCUGCAUCUGAAACUAUUAUUGGAAUGCCUCUGCGCACAGCACACGCCUGCUUCCCAGAUUUCACAGGCCCCUGCUCAGGGAUCUGCAAACCACAUUACUCAGCCCGAGAUUCCACGCGGGUGAUCACGAGGUGGUUUGCUCUAAGCUGGAAUUUUUCUAAGAAAGUAGGUUUCUUUAAGCCAGGCAUUCUGCAUUCUUCAAAAAGCAUCAACCACAUGUCUCCAGCGAGCGCCUAGCAAUGUGCCUGCCUUAAUGGAUGAGGAAACUGAGGCACAAAAAGGUGAAGUCCUGAGCUCACAGUCAUGCAACCAGCAGGUGGUGAAACACACCUCCGAGCUGCCUGCCUCCUAAGCAUCAAGCUUUGUGGCCUAGGAUCUACUUCAUGCUCCAAAUAUUCAUGGACCUUCCCAGGACCUCAACAAAACAAAACCAUGAAGAAAAACCUUGACAUGAACCCCCAAAAAAACCAGUCAGCAAUAUUUUAAGUUAAAUUUUGAAACAAAUCCAAACGGGUUCCUCCCCAUAAAUCUACCAGUAAAUUGUGCAGAAUCAGAACUGAAGCCAUGCCCUUUCUUAAAGUAUUGAAUUAGAAUAAAUGAGAACAUCUAAAUAUUUUCCAAAUUCAUAUUCCAGUUAUAAUA